GAGAGCUUGCUCUCGGGUGACGAGCGGCGGACGGGUGAGAAUAGUCUGGGAAACUGCCUGAUGGAGGGGGAUAACUACUGGAAACGGUAGCUAAUACCGCAUAACGUCGCAAGACCAAAGUGGGGGACCUUCGGGCCUCAUGCCAUCAGAUGUGCCCAGAUGGGAUUAGCUAGUAGGUGGGGUAACGGCUCACCUAGGCGACGAUCCCUAGCUGGUCUGAGAGGAUGACCAGCCACACUGGAACUGAGACACGGUCCAGACUCCUACGGGAGGCAGCAGUGGGGAAUAUUGCACAAUGGGCGCAAGCCUGAUGCAGCCAUGCCGCGUGUGUGAAGAAGGCCUUCGGGUUGUAAAGCACUUUCAGCGGGGAGGAAGGCGAUAAGGUUAAUAACCUUGGCGAUUGACGUUACCCGCAGAAGAAGCACCGGCUAACUCCGUGCCAGCAGCCGCGGUAAUACGGAGGGUGCAAGCGUUAAUCGGAAUUACUGGGCGUAAAGCGCACGCAGGCGGUCUGUCAAGUCGGAUGUGAAAUCCCCGGGCUCAACCUGGGAACUGCAUUCGAAACUGGCAGGCUAGAGUCUUGUAGAGGGGGGUAGAAUUCCAGGUGUAGCGGUGAAAUGCGUAGAGAUCUGGAGGAAUACCGGUGGCGAAGGCGGCCCCCUGGACAAAGACUGACGCUCAGGUGCGAAAGCGUGGGGAGCAAACAGGAUUAGAUACCCUGGUAGUCCACGCCGUAAACGAUGUCGAUUUGGAGGUUGUGCCCUUGAGGCGUGGCUUCCGGAGCUAACGCGUUAAAUCGACCGCCUGGGGAGUACGGCCGCAAGGUUAAAACUCAAAUGAAUUGACGGGGGCCCGCACAAGCGGUGGAGCAUGUGGUUUAAUUCGAUGCAACGCGAAGAACCUUACCUGGUCUUGACAUCCACAGAACUU
RNAcentral lists this ribosomal RNA (930 nucleotides) under Klebsiella pneumoniae. Its description in RNAcentral is "bacterial SSU rRNA". It matches the Rfam family "Bacterial small subunit ribosomal RNA", at positions 74 to 998 of the family's 1533-position model. The record is from RNAcentral. Lineage: Bacteria; Pseudomonadati; Pseudomonadota; Gammaproteobacteria; Enterobacterales; Enterobacteriaceae.